GAACGCUGGCGGUGCGCCUUAUGCAUGCAAGUCGAGCGAAGCUUUUCAGUAGUUUACUACAGAAAAUGACUGAGCGGCGAACGGGUGAGUAACGCGUGAGCAAUCUACCUUAGUUACAGGGAUAGCCCGAGGAAACUCGGAUUAAUACCUGAUAUUCUUUAUAUUUCGCAUGAAAUUAAAAGGAAAGGUCAGCCGAACUAAGAUGAGCUCGCGUUCUAUCAGCUAGUUGGUGAGGUAAAAGCUCACCAAGGCUACGACGGAUAGCUGGUCUGAGAGGACGAUCAGCCACACUGGGACUGAGACACGGCCCAGACUCCUACGGGAGGCUGCAGCAGGGAAUAUUGCGCAAUGAGCGAAAGCUUGACGCAGCGACACCGCGUGUGGGAUGACGGAUCUAGGUUUGUAAACCACUUUCAGGAGGGAAGAAAAUGACGGUACCUCCACAAGAAGCCCCGG
RNAcentral lists this ribosomal RNA (456 nucleotides) under uncultured bacterium. Its description in RNAcentral is "bacterial SSU rRNA". It matches the Rfam family "Bacterial small subunit ribosomal RNA", at positions 31 to 496 of the family's 1533-position model. The record is from RNAcentral.